AUAAUGAUACUUCUUUAGUGAAAGCCGGCUCAUCUUAACAGGGGCGGUGGUGAGAUUCCAAUGU
Mogibacterium sp. CM50 is the source of this 64-nucleotide regulatory RNA element. It matches the Rfam family "pemK RNA". NCBI's taxonomy places the organism in Bacteria, Bacillati, Bacillota, Clostridia, Peptostreptococcales, Anaerovoracaceae. The record is from Rfam.